AUGCUUGCAUCCCACACUCGUUCCCAGACCACCAAUGUUCGGAUCGCCCUCGCAAACUUGCAGAAGGGCAACUCCUCCAUCACCGACUACGUCGGGAAGAUCAAGUCCCUCUGCGACGAGCUGAUCGCUGCAUGGAAGAGGGUGGACGACGACGACAUCGUCUCCCACAUCCUGGCCGGGCUAGAUGAAGAUUUUGACCCGCUGGUGUCGGCCAUGUGUUCCGGGGUGGAGCCGGUGACCGUGGCUGAGCUGUUCUCGCAGCUGCUGAGCUUCGAGACGAGGCUC
Molecule: ribosomal RNA, 285 nt
Filed under: Triticum aestivum (bread wheat)
Lineage: Eukaryota; Viridiplantae; Streptophyta; Magnoliopsida; Poales; Poaceae
Description: partial small subunit ribosomal RNA
Rfam family: Small nucleolar RNA Z247 (bases 139-277)
Source: RNAcentral